This 603-nucleotide long non-coding RNA is filed under the name Cyanistes caeruleus (blue tit). RNAcentral describes it as "lncRNA (ENSCCEG00000001556.1)". The record is from RNAcentral. Lineage: Eukaryota; Metazoa; Chordata; Aves; Passeriformes; Paridae.
CCUAAAUUGAUUUAAGGCGUGGUCUGCACAUAGAUUUUUGUACCAGUAUAAUUAUGACUGCAAGGGCAUGGUGUCUUUAAUGCAUUGUGUGGUCACCAGCUGGUGUGACUUGGCAUGAGCGCCGUUCUGCCAGCACAGUGGCACGUGUGUGUGGUACAGGUUAUUCCUGCUCCUGUGCAGGCAUUAGCAGUCACUUGCAUCUUUCGAGUGUUCAGCUGGCACAGGUGUUACAGGCUUGCCAGACAUCUGCUUUCCAGCUGUCCAAAUGAGCAUCCUACAGAACCCCUGCAAAUCUGAGCUCUCCAGUUCAUAGCACCCCAACACUACUGAGCCCUGCAGUGACUCCCACAAGACAUGAAGGACUGGCAGUAAAGCUGUGUGCUUUGGGACACAGGCAUCCUGUUCAGCCUGAGUGAAAAACUUGAGCUUUUAAAAACAGGCCCAGUGUGAGUGACUUCCAACAGUGUUUCUCUUACAAGUGUCCUCUGUUAGCAGGGACAAAUGUGCCAAAUGAGGUGUUAUGAAACAAUGCGGUGUAGAAAGGGUCAUUCCAAUAGUUUGCCCAUUACUCUGAGAUCUGGGAGAUGUAAAUUAACUUUUCUG